GAUGAACGCUGGCGGCGUGCCUAAUACAUGCCAGUCGAGCGAACAGACGAGGAGCUUGCUCCUUUGACGUUAGCGGCGGACGGGUGAGUAACACGUGGGUAACCUACCUAUAAGACUGGGAUAACUUCGGGAAACCGGAGCUAAUACCGGAUAAUAUUUCGAACCGCAUGGUUCGAUAGUGAAAGAUGGCUUUGCUAUCACUUAUAGAUGGACCUGCGCCGUAUUAGCUAGUUGGUAAGGUAACGGCUUACCAAGGCAACGAUACGUAGCCGACCUGAGAGGGUGAUCGGCCACACUGGAACUGAGACACGGUCCAGACUCCUACGGGAGGCAGCAGUAGGGAAUCUUCCGCAAUGGGCGAAAGCCUGACGGAGCAACGCCGCGUGAGUGAUGAAGGUCUUCGGAUCGUAAAACUCUGUUAUUAGGGAAGAAUAAACGUGUAAGUAACUGUGCACGUCUUGACGGUACCUAAUCAGAAAGCCACGGCUAACUACGUGC
Molecule: ribosomal RNA, 498 nt
Filed under: uncultured bacterium
Lineage: Bacteria
Description: partial 16S ribosomal RNA
Rfam family: Bacterial small subunit ribosomal RNA
Source: RNAcentral